This 253-nucleotide ribosomal RNA is filed under the name uncultured bacterium. RNAcentral's name for it is "partial 16S ribosomal RNA". It matches the Rfam family "Bacterial small subunit ribosomal RNA", at positions 524 to 776 of the family's 1533-position model. The record is from RNAcentral.
UACAGAGGUCUCAAGCGUUGUUCGGAAUCACUGGGCGUAAAGGGUGCGUAGGCCGUGCGGUAAGUCAGAGGUGAAAUCCCGGAGCUCAACUUCGGAAUUGCCUCCGAUACUGCCGUGCUUGAGGACUGGAGAGGAGAUUGGAAUUCACAGUGGAGCAGUGAAAUGCGUAGAUAUUGUGAGGAACACUAGUGGCGAAGGCGAAUCUCUGGACAGUUCCUGACGCUGAGGCACGAAGGCCAGGGGAGCAAACGGG